CUUGCUUCUCUUGAGAGCGGCGGACGGGUGAGUAAUGCCUAGGAAUCUGCCUGGUAGUGGGGGAUAACGUUCGGAAACGGACGCUAAUACCGCAUACGUCCUACGGGAGAAAGCAGGGGACCUUCGGGCCUUGCGCUAUCAGAUGAGCCUAGGUCGGAUUAGCUAGUUGGUGGGGUAAUGGCUCACCAAGGCGACGAUCCGUAACUGGUCUGAGAGGAUGAUCAGUCACACUGGAACUGAGACACGGUCCAGACUCCUACGGGAGGCAGCAGUGGGGAAUAUUGGACAAUGGGCGAAAGCCUGAUCCAGCCAUGCCGCGUGUGUGAAGAAGGUCUUCGGAUUGUAAAGCACUUUAAGUUGGGAGGAAGGGUUG
Molecule: ribosomal RNA, 373 nt
Filed under: uncultured bacterium
Lineage: Bacteria
Description: bacterial SSU rRNA
Rfam family: Bacterial small subunit ribosomal RNA
Source: RNAcentral